This is a long non-coding RNA of Phyllopteryx taeniolatus (common seadragon), 1453 nucleotides long. RefSeq lists it as uncharacterized. The transcript has 6 exons. The record is from RefSeq and is a predicted model, not a curated record. NCBI's taxonomy places the organism in Eukaryota, Metazoa, Chordata, Actinopteri, Syngnathiformes, Syngnathidae.
CCAGGGCGUGCUCCUGCUGAAGGAUGUGACACUGCUCCAGGGUCAGCGACAUGGCCGUGCGGUCCUUGGCACUCUUGCAGCUUGUGAAGCGCACGCCGUUCAGGCGCCGGCACGCCUGCAGCCAACACCAAAAUAGAGGUGUGCUGAUACAUUUGCGAAGCGCCGUACCUCUGCCGCCUGCCACAAAAUCUCCACGUUCUUGCUCUUCUUGGCGUUGACGUUGUGGCUGAGCUGUUUGAGCAGAUUGGGCAGACUGGUGGUGCUACGGGAGCGAGGAAGACCUGACAGGAUGACAGACGAGGAGGAAGAGCGGCGGAGGUGCGGGUGGCUGCAGAGUACUGACGGUCUGGCAGAAGACGACGUCACGGCGGUACUGCAGUGUGAGGCUCAUGGCGAUGGUUGGGGCGCUGUCCUGCAUGAGGAGGAACACCAAGGCCUUCUUGGCUUUGUCGCUCAUCAGCGAGGCGCGGUCGCUCAGCGUGGAGAGCAGAGGGUGCAGGGCCUCGGUCCACUCCCCUUCGGUGAGGGGAAGAGCUUUUAUUUGACCAGGGGUGUCCAAACGUACAGAAAAAUCAAAGGAGGUCGCUGAUGGUCUCCUGAUAUGUGAGGAUGAUGGUCUGGUACUGAGUGAUGAUCUGCCUCCGGAGGUUCUCCCAGCACGGAGACAGCUCGCCCAGCUCCUCCAGUUCACACACCCUGCGUGUGGUUACAGCAGCUUCACAAACUGUCGAGGGAUGUGCAGGGAAAGCGCGCUCUCCGCCAUCUGCUCCAGGACGCGGAGAUGUUUGCCGUCCGUGGUGGGGAAACGGUACAUCUGCGACAUGACGCCUCCGAACACUGGAACGCGCAGAAACGUGGCCACGUUACGAAAGAACGUAGGAACUUUCCUGAAGUUCCGAUGCUCUCUGAUGGUACUCGCCGGCCUUCAGCAGGGGAUCUUUACACAGGGACGAAGACUUGAACUUGAUGCCUUUGGAUUCAGUUAAGCUUUCAUCAACCGGAAGAACCAUCUGAAAGCGCGAGACAGUGUUUAUCCCUCCGUGACUUUACGUCGCUACAAAUUAAGGCAGCAGAAGUCCUCACGCAUACACUGUGUUUAAGUACAAAUAAAACAGUGCUACAGACACUGAAAUGUACUUAAGUACAAAAGUAAAAAGUACAGUUUUAUCUUCAACUAUUGUAUAUACGCAAGACCCAAUUUCAUAACUUGGUACAACAAAACUUUUUUUUGGUACUUAUUGCUCAGUCAGACUGAAAAAAGGAAUCACGUUUAGAGUGCUAGCGAGCGUUGGCUUGGCUUUAUGCUAACAAAACAACUUGCUCACAAAGCUUUGCUAGCAAACAAACAAUGACAACUUGACCUUUCUCAAAGAAGCGACCAGAAAUGGACGGGGGAACCCGAACUACGAGCGACUCCUCGCCACUCACUCUUCCGUUAACGGUGUCUCCUCGC